CUGUCCUGCUGCCUCCUCGUCAUCAGUGAUGAGUUCCACUAAUUAGUGCCCCUUGCUUCUGUUCCUCUGGCAGAUUCCAGAAGGGGAACCUGCCUGGCUGGAACUGAAGAAAGAGGUGUUCUGAACUUGGCAGCACAGCUCAGUUAAGAGAUCACUGCAUGUUGUGGAACCUUCCUGACACACGAAGGCCUUGGAAGCUGAGGUGCCCUGAGGGCUGCUGGCUCAGAGCAGGGCUGGCCAAGGGGCCUUCUCUGAAAUCCCUUCUUCACAGAGAAAGAGAAAAUUUGCUCAUCUGAUGAUGCACCUGAAAUAAAGUUGCAUGAUCUAUUGAUAUUUAUUAAUGCAGGUACAUGGUUUAAGGUUGAAGAGCAUUUUCCAGCUACCUGUUUUGUGCUUUACUGAAAAAUAAAAAAACCUCAGCCAUGACUGAAGAAUUCAACAUAAAGCCACUGACUGAAGGGAAAAGAGACACAGACAAAGAAGCUGUAUUAAAUGUGAUCAAAAAUUCUAAUGGACAGUUCAACCUUGAGGCUGCAAUUAAAAAUGUUGACAUAAUGUCCAAUGAGUUGAAGAAAAUAAAUGUGGAAAGCCAGCUACUGCUUUGUGACCUGAUUUUGAAUUUCAACCAUCCUGGAAAGGCCAAAGAUUUAAGAGAAGCUGAAGAAAAGGCUUGGAGUUUGACAGAUUAAUGUCUUCCAGGGACAGAACCCUGCCAGUGAACACACCAGCUUUGCACCUGAGCUCACCAGUUUGAUGGAGACAUCAGAGCUGAAGUUUUGUGAGAUACUGGUCAUUAUCUGGACCUGCAAGAGCCUGUGGUGCUGCUUUGGGGCCUUAUGGAAUAAUUCGAUGGUGCUGCUGUACCUCUUACAGCCCCCUAACCGCAGCUCCUCGCCUCGCCUACAAGUGCCCAGGAGGAGAGGGAUGGCGAGGGGAGCCCGUCAUGACAAAGCAAGGCCAGACCCGUCG
Molecule: long non-coding RNA, 969 nt
Organism: Catharus ustulatus (Swainson's thrush)
Lineage: Eukaryota; Metazoa; Chordata; Aves; Passeriformes; Turdidae
Exons: 10
Source: RefSeq, a predicted model, not a curated record